AAAUAUUUCGUCGUAAAGAACUCGCGAAAUUUACGUGGCUUUUACGAGGAAAUAGUUUUUCCUCGUAAAAGCCACGUCAAUUUACAUCGUCUUUACGACGAAUACGUUUUGUCGUGACCUUACGACGAAAUAACGAUGCUUUUCUUUUUCCACGUACUUUCCUCGCAAAAUCAACGUUUUUUUACAAGGAUUGUUUUUCCUCGUUAAAUUUCCUCGUUAAGGUUACGGUUUCUUGUAGUGUUUGAGUCAUAUUCGCAAAAAAAAAACCCCUUAAAUAAGUCAGUUUAAUUAAGAAUAUUAUAAAACCAAAACAUUUGAAUUAAAAUAAAUAUUAAAAAUAUAAUAUUAUUUAUCAGAGAAUAGUGAAAUUUACUGUCAUUAUAAUUUAAAACAAAAAAAUAAUUAUAAUGAUCUCAUAAGUCUUUCAUUAUUUUUUCGUUUAUAAUAUUUUUUAAUAUAUCAUAAUUUUAAAUUACUUCAUAAAUUAUUAUAAAAUCACUCUUAUUAUAACUUCCCGCCCAUAGGGCAGGCCGGUCCUAGUAAAAAAUAAAAAAAACAUGUCUAAAAGAUGUUGAAUGAGCUUCUAAAAACAAAAUUGUAAAAACAAAAUAAUAUUUUUACAUUGUAUUUAUUAUUUAUUUAUAAAAUUAUGAUCGUUAUAGUUACUCAUUGUUAAAUUUAAGGAUUAAAAUACAAAAUAUAAAAGAUUGAACAUAUAUUUGAGUUUGGCCAUAGGAAUAAUCCAUUUCCAAACGUUCAUUUUAAGGAUAAGCUGACUUCCAAAUGUAGAUGUUUGUUGUAGAUGAUCUUAGACUAUUAAUUUUGUAAUAGUAUAUUAACUUAUGUGUAAUUCAGUCGACUAAAUGAAUUUUUUUAUAUAUAUAUGUUGAAAACUGCGUAGAUUUUUUUAAUAGUGAAUAUGUAACUAGUCAAAUUAGUAUUUUGUUUUGAUGACCCUGGUAUCCGAAGCCUCAGAAGAUCCGAGUAGCGCUAAUGACUGUCCACCGGAGUUUAGCCGGGGAGCCCGCCGAGGUAUUCAGGAGGACUGGUGAUCACCCAUGUAAAUCUCACUAGUGACCACUCGUUAGCAAGCUUCUCCGUAUUGGACCUGAAGGUCCCUCAAGAUAAUCACCUCUCAGCAGCACUCGAAUCUAUGACUUUCCAGAUUGAGUUUAACCACUGGACCACUAACACGUGGUUAUCAAAUUUUUGCAUAAGCAUGCUUUGAUAUCAUGUGAUAUAUUAUUAGUUAAGUGGUGUUGAUGAAUAUAUGUUUAGUUGUCGUGGGAAAUAUUCUAUUUUUCCUCGAUCUUCAUAAUUAUCCUUGAAACUUGACAUUUAUCUUUGGAAACUUGACACUUAUCUUCUCCUGCAAAAAAAAAAGUAAACCGUCAUAGUAUCCAUGGGCUCAUUCCCAUAUAAAAUCGUAAGUGAGUUUUUAGCCGUGUUUUAGACUUCGUUGGACCGUCUUUCGACUUUAUGCGUUUUAACGAUUUCUUCAAGAAAUUUACCCCGAUAUGAUGCCGGUUUAAUAAUAGUCUUAAUCAAUCGUAUUUCCAAGGCAGUUGGUGCUUUAGGUUAACUGUCACCAUUUUAUACAAACGAUCUGAACUUAUACGAUAAAAACAAAUCUUCGAGGUUUUUAUCGUAAAAUUUUAACGAUAACUCCAAUCGAAGCGGAAUGAGAGACAGUACAGUCUUGGUUUGUAAGGGAGAGAAAACGAGGAUAAGACGAGAAUGCAUGAGUUUGUAACGUCUCGGUCGCCGUUUGACGAUCCGAGUUUGGGACAAACCGGUCGCCAUAUGGCGACCCAGUCUGAUAACGAGCUGGUCGUCAUAUGGCGACCCAGUUUCGCAGCGGACCGAUUGCCAUAUGGUCACCCAAUCGAGUAACGGGCCGGUCGCCAUAUGGCGACUGGGUUGUGUAGCCGACCUGUCGCCAUAUGUAACCGGUCGGUCACCAUAUGGCGUACGUCCUGGUUGCGUAGCCGACCGGUCGCCAUAUGGCAACCAGGUUGUGUAACCAACCUGUCGCCAUAUGUAACCGGCCGGUCGCCAUAUGGCGUCCGGUUUGCGUAGCCGACCUGUCGCCAUAUGGCGACCGGAUUGAGUGGUCGACCGGUCACCAUUUGGCGAUCGGUUUGUAUAACCGAUCAGUUGCCGUAUGAUGUCUUGGUCGUUCUUUUGAGUUUGUUUCUGACAGCUAGUGUCGACUUCCGAAGUUGUGGAAAAAAUUAUUCCAAAAUUUAUAGUAAAAAUUCUUUGUUGAAAAUUAUACGAAAGUAAUUUUUCCGAAAAGUAUUCUCCGGAGACUUUCAUGCGUAGAUUCCGUUACGAUCGGUUUUGACCCCAACAGUUGUAUAUGUGAUAAAAUAUACUGCAUUAUAUUAUUCAUAAUUAUAAAAAUCAUAAGUGUCAGAAAAUAUUUGAAUCCUAUGACAACCAAUGUACUCUAAAGCCGAUACAGAUUAAUCCAAUAACCUCUCCCCCCACUUUGGAUCCUAUGACAACCAAUGUACUCUAAAGCCAACACAGAUAGAACAGAUUAUCUAAAUCUAAUGAUCCAAUAACCCCCUCCCCCUUCCCUUACUUUGUGUAUUGUAAGUAGGACUCUAAAGUCUAAAGGGCAUGUGCAAUGUUUGAAUGUUUAGAGUCAACGUACGGUGAGAUUUGUGUUGACUAAUGUGAUGAAGCAUUGAAUAUAGACUCAUGUUGCAAAGUGCACCAACCCGAGACUUUUAACCAUCGGAUACCAAAGUUUUGUCAAUGUAAAUUAAAGAUAAAAGUCUGUCACAUAUUUGAAACAAAACCAGUGAUGUGAUAUAGUAAAUGUUUGAUGUAUUUACUUACUCUGAUUAAUUCGCCAUUCAAGUUUUUUACUGCACCAUUAAUUUGCAAUGGCUAUACCGAUCAUACUAAACAGUACCAACUACUACAUUUUAAACUAACUACAUUUAUUCUACGAUACUUUUUAUGAUUAGGAACAAAACUGCUAAACCAGAUUGUCUUAUUAUUGUACUUUCUAAGCGAAUUCUUUUUUUGGCUGAUUUAGAACCCUAUAUUAGGAUUCUCAUAGGGUUGAAUGGUUACAUGAUAUCUUAUAUUAUAUAAUAAAGUAGAGUUUAGUCUCUCCACAAUCAUCCACCUCAGCAAGAAGCAUAGGGCAUUUUUUGACAGCUGUCACCUCCCAAUUCAGUUUCUUUUCGUACACAGAUUUUUAAUGGCCAAUCCAUUUGUUCAAGUUUAUUGCAAAUCAUGUAUAUUAUCGGGCCUUUUAUGUUGUGAUUUUGUUCAAGCCCAAUGUGUAUAGAGUUUCGAUAUUUUUUAGUCUUCUCUUUAGAUCAAUGAAUCUACCAAUAAAUACAGCUUUACCGUAUGCGCUUCUCAUUUCCCUUUAGUCGACCACGUUACUUUUUGCAAUUAUUAUGCCAAUAACUCAAGCAUUCCCACUAACCCACUACAUGUUCUUCAAUGCAGUUUUCGUUCGAGAACGAUCUGAGAACCCGUAAAAUCAUUUUCUUCUGCAUUCGUAGCUCGUGUUCUUACCGAUAAAAAUGACAAAUUAUCUGAAUUGAAGGCAAGAUGGUGUAGACAAGUAGUGCUAACCCGGCUUCUACGAUUUUGGGAGGCCCUGAGUAUUAAGAAAGAUGGUAAGUUUAUGGGCGUCGAUAUGCUGUUGAUUGAUGGAAAGUUAACGCUAAUCCAAGCAUCGAUCAAUGUACACCGGCUUAACUCCUUCAGACAGACGCUGAGAGACGAAGUCUCUCUCUCUCUGUGAGCCCAUCGUUUUUGAUUUGACAAGAAGCAGCACCAACUUCAGGUUUUGUGACGGUUCUAUUGCUAUAAGAUUCAUCGGACAAACCCUGUUUGUUUAGAUUGCUGAAACGGCCGAGUCUAUCCCGGUGAAGAGGUUCUGUUUCGCAGCUUUGAGCAACUAAUGUCAUUGUCCAACAUAAACACCAUACUCAGUGAAGAAAUAAAAAGAAUUCAAUGCAUUAUGGAAACGUCCAGAACUGAAAGGGAAGCUAGCAUAUGCCUUAGUGUUUUUGAAGGCCUCCUUGAUGAAAAACUGGGGGCCACUAGAGUUGAACCAAAAGUGGUUGUGGUAACCAAUAUCAACCCAAAGUUAGUUGGAGGCAGCCUCUUCCUCAAUGAAACCUCCGGUAUUCAUUUUUGUUUUGACAAUAGUACCUCAACAAAGUGUCUGACAGUGAUAUAGGCUCAAGCUCUAAUGAUACAAUAUGGGAUGGUGUGAGGAAGAUAGAGUCAAUACCUUUGGCUGAGCUUAAUUCCUUUGGUUUCAACGCAUCCCUACAGACCAUUGAGUUCAUAUGCACUGGGGGUAUUAGGUGGCAUUGAUACAGUCGAUGAAUGGUGCUAUAUUGCAUGCUCGAAGUGUUCUCGCAUACUGCAACGUGGCUUCUCCUCCUUCACUCCGCUUCACGUAAUAAGGAGAACGCAGUUGGGAUUGUGAGCGAUAGGUACCGUGUCCAGAUGACCGACUCUGAUGCAUCUGACUCAGCCGAGUUUGUAGCUUCUGAAACUAAAAAAUCUACGUUGACAAAUAUCGGGCCUGUAGAGGUCUCCCAAGAAAUGAACGUAGGACUCCAGGAACACAAGAGUUGGGCCCUUCCACAAUGCAUUGAAGAUAUUGUUCAAAGACAUCUCGCUUGAAAUCUUCAAAAUAUGGCAACCAUCAGAGAACAUGAUUCUGAUAAGGUGGAAUUUCAAGGGUGUGUCUAGAGUUCCAUGGGAAGCUAGCGGAGGAUAUCAAGGCACUUCUCCAUAUAAAUUCAUAGCUCUGCUCAAGUUUGUAAUACACUUGGAAUGAUUUUUCUUCAAGAGUCAGAACGUUUCAGAGUUCCAGUUAGGGUCUUUAUUUCUUAAUAAUUGCUAUUUGAACAUAUAUACACAAUUAUUUUUUAUGAUCUCUGUUGCAAAGUCUGGGUACUUGGUUGCAUCUUCCUUAAUGUGGUCUUCUGGGGUUCUGUUUAUUUAGAUCGAAACAGAGAAGUGCAGGCUUAGUAGACCUUACAGUGUGACAAUACGUUUUUUUAUAAAUUAAAUUCUGACAAUGUCAAUGUUUAGGCCUAUGCCACGGUGAUGCCUCCUCUUCUGACUGUUGUACUUGUCUGGCACAUGUGGUAGAGAACGCAUUGUUCGAGCUUUAGGAAAAAAAAUCUGUGCACUAGGAGAAGUUGAAUGACUAAGGCCAAUAGAGGAAGUGAAACAAUGCGUUAAGUGAGGCGUAUAAAUACACUAAUUGUCUAAGAAUGGAUAUUCUAUAUUUUAGAGGGGUUUCUUGGUUAGAAAAAAAUGUUGAGGUUGACAUCAAUUUUAUAAUGCUCGAUGACCGUUGCUUUAAGGUAUUUGCUUUAGGGUAAUGUUUAAGUUAUUUAUUUAAUAAUUAUUAGAAUAGUUAAAGUUUUCAAUUUUGUAUUUCUACCUUGAAACAAUAUUUAACGGAUGGAAAAAGAUGUUCAGUUUUGCAGUAAUAAAUUUGGACAUAUUUAAAGCUUAGGGAUGGUUUUUUCUUUUCUUUCACAAAAGAGUGAUAGUUCGUUUAGCUUAUUAGCUUUAUUAAAAUUGUAGCUAACGCAAAAUGUCGAAACAUGAUUUUCUUGGAGUUUUCCAUCUUUUUGAAUAACUACUCCAAAUUUCAGCUUCUAUAAUAUAAAAAAUGUUGAGGUUGACAAUCAAUUUUAUAAUGCUCGAUGACCGUUGCUUUAAGGUAUUUGCUAUAGGGUAAUGUUUAAGUUAUUUAUUUAAUAAUUAUUAGAAUAGUUAAAGUUUUCAAUUUUGUAUUUUUACCUUGAAACAAUAUUUAACGUAUGGAAAAAGAUGUUCAGUUUUGCAGAAAUAAAUUUGGACAUAUUUAAAGCUCAGGGAUGGUUUUUUCUUUUCUUUCACAAAAGAGUGAUAGUCCGUUUAGCUUAUUAGCUUUAUUAAAAUUGUAGCUAACGCAAAAUGUCGAAACAUGAUUUUCUUGGAGUUUUCCAUCUGUUUGAAUAACUACUCCAAAUUUCAGCUUCUAUAAUAUAAUAUAGAAAACUCAAUUACAUUGCAAUGCAUAAAAUAUAUUGUAAUCAUUUAAAAAAAAAACAAAAUGCGUGAAGAAGGACGACUAUAUCUUCCUCUCAUUUAAUAUGUUUCUCAUACUAUUUUAUGUGUGAUAAAAUAUAGUAUUAUUUUUAUAAAAUAAAUAAAUAGCAGUGGUACCCUUUGCAAUCUAAAAAACCAAAGUUCGAAACUCCAACAAAAAAAAAAUUAAAUCCAAAAUAAUCUUACACCGGAUUCAGUCAUCAAUCAGAAGUGUACACCGGAUUAACAAAUAAUGGAACUAGCGAACACGGCUCAUUUACCAGAUAUUGUUGGGAACGUAAGGGGCAUUAGGACUACUUACAAUGAAGCAACUAAGAGUACACAACCCAUGAUGAUCACCAUUAGCAUAACAAGGUAUAAGCUAAUAAUGUACCUUUAUUUUCUCUUAAAGUAAUGUUUACGGGAGGUUUCAAAACCUCUAUAAGUCUUAAAUAUUUCUUUGCUGUCUUCUCAAUAGAGUAUGCCCAAGUGUUUUUGACGAAAUGUCUAAGAAUCUUGAUGAAACCUGCUGCAUAAAAGUGAUGUACUUAAGAUCACUCCAUGGAAAAUGGCGACUGUGUGGGAAAUGAUGAUGUUGAAGGUGGAGAAGGUGAGACCACAGCGUCAAGUCACACCUCUGUUGAUGGAAGGGAGACAGACGAGAAGGAAACUGUGAAGGAAGAUGGGUGUUCCCGAAAAUAGGCACAGUGUGAGUAACAUCCAAAGCACAAGGGGAGAUUAAGUUACAGGACAUGAGUGCGUUUAAGUUGCAUUAGUUUUUAAAUUACUUUUCCGAACAGUAUGAAUUCUGAGUACUUCCAACCUUAUAGCUAUUUUGUUCUGUUUUUCUUUUUCCCCCUUCAAAAUGUUAACCUCGACAGUCAUUUUGGACUAAGCAAAUAAUAAGAUCCUGAUUCUCAACCCUUUUCCAAUUACUAACAACGCGCAAUUAAAUAUUAAGCAUUAAGUGUAGAAUAUGGAUUAACGCGAUCUGCAUAUGCAUGACAAUUGACAUGCUACAUAUAAACUACAUUAGGAGUACCAGAAAGGCACGUGGCAUCCUCCUUGGAUAAUUUACACUCACUUCAUAGCUACGCACACACAAAAAAAAAAUCCACAUACAAUUGAUUAAUAAAUACUUUAAUCCUCUAACAAAGUUGUUCCACCACUCUUAUAUAUUCGUAAAUAAUUAGAAAAAUUGUUCGUAGAUGUUUUGUUCAAGUAAUUAUAUACAAACAAAACAGCUUGCCUAUUAUUGUUAAUAAUUGUGCCAGGCGUUAUAAAUGAUUAGAACAGAUUAACCCAUUGAACAAAAAGGUUUCAAAUAACAACAGAGGUUGAAGAUAUUCUCAACACCUGCUCUCUCACAAAUAAACGAUUGAAGCUUAUGAGCGUUAAAAUUUUCACAAAUACGUGGUUCUCUACUUUUUCUGCGUAGGAACUCCUCUAAUCAUUACCAAAUGGCAAAGAAAAAAACCUCGACGUCAGGAAAACAGUAUCUUAUGCUCGACUCAAUUCAAGCUUUGAGAGGAUCUUCCACCAUCAAUCCCCAACCGUUCCUAUGUGAGCUAUCCUGCUAAGCAAGCAACUUAGAUCAUAACUGAUUUUUUCCUCCCUAACAAAUAUCACAACACACGUGUUGAUGGAGACAACCAUGGUUAAACAAGCCGGUUACAUCCUACAAACUCUCAAGCAACUCAUUAACUACCCAACCAGAACCCCAUAACUACGCGACAAAAUAUACACAAUCAGGGGCGGAUGCAGAAGUAGAUUUAAUAGGGGGCACAACAAAGUUUUCAUUGUAUUUUUUCUUUCAGUUGGGGGCACCCUGUAUAUACUUACAGCAUUUGUUAAAGAAAAUUUAAAAAUUAGUUGGGGCAUGCACUCCGUCCGCCCCUGUACACAAUCACUCUCACAUAACCAAGUUUCACAAACCUAUAUCGACAAGUUACUUGCUAAACAAUAAAUACCAAAUCAUAUAGAAAGUUAUAUAAACAUUCCUCCCAUCACACCAUAUUAAAUCUAUUAACUAAAAAUAUCGUCACCGCAGGACAAAGACAAACAAACACACAUUGAUUCACUAUAGAACAAAACAACCGAGCUCUACCAUAAUAUCCAAUAUCAAGUAAAAAAAACAAGACACACAUAAUGGUCAAUACACAACAAUUAAACUACUUCAAAACAAAUAUUAAACAUUCGAGUUUUCAAGUGUUUAUAAAACUAAAAUAAUUUUAAUAUAAAAUAAAUUUAUUGUAAACUCACCCGCCCGUAGGGCGGGCCAACCCCUAGUAAUUUAUAUAAACUUAAUGAAGUCUAUGAAUACAAAUAAAUACGGUGGCAUUGUUGAUAUCUCCAAACAAACAUACGAGCAUACACAUGUCAGGUACAUGUCAAGAAGAUAAGUCUUUUUUUUUAUGUUAGACCAUAAUAAAAAUAAAAUACGUUGUUAUCCACUUCUGUAAAAAUUAAUUGGUACAUAUCUAAGAUUUUUAUGUUUUUUGUUCAUUUUCACUGUUAGUGGUUCGCUCAUUCAUAUAUUUAUAUAUAAGAUUUCUUUUAUUUAUUUUGUUCCUUUGUAUAUUUCUUAUAUAAGUGUAGUAGAAAAAGAGUUAUUUGCUCGAAUCCAUCAUUAAACUUUUUCUAUAUUUCACUUUAAAAUAAAAUAACUCUAUGAUAAAGUUGGAUUUGUUUCAAUGAUUUACUCUAUAAUAAAACGAAAUAUAAAAAUAUUGUUUUUACACUCUAUUUUAUUUAUAUUUCACUCUAUAAUAAAGUAACUCUAUUAAUAGAUUUAUUCUAUUUUAGAGUAAAAUAUAGAAAGAAUUAUUAAACAUUAUUGGAGAUGCUCUACCUAUUCUAAUACCUAUUCUAAUGGUAGAGAUUUUUUUGUGCGACAAAAGUCCAAUAUUAUAAUAAGAUCAGGUGAGUAUGCAGUCUGCAUAAUGCAGAGUUGCUUUCCAUCAAAUCAAAAUCGAUAAUUUCUUAAAUUGAAAGUAAAGAAAUUUUAUGUGAUAGAAAGAAAAGGAGAAAAAAAAGGGAGAUUGCAUAUUAUCUAGAACAUGAAAGGGAAUUUAUAAAAGACCAUAUAUAUGAAUUAUAUGAAACAGAAAACAAAGUAGACAUGAUCACUAAGUGAAACUGAAAGGUUGAGAAAUGGUCCACGUUCCCCCCCCCCCCCCCCCCCCCAAAACAUUUGUUUUCAUAACCAUUGGCUCGCCGUUGAGCCCACCUGAGGGGCUGAGACCAACCCGACCCAAUUGGAUCCAACCAAAAAUUGUCUACUCCUCUUGAACACUUUGCUUAUUUUGGCAGCUAUCUAUAAUACUAACAGGAAGCUGUCCAAUCCCGUUAGGGUUUGGUUAUGAUGACGGACCUGUAUGACAUAUCAGAUUUUUCGGAUCCUUUUAGACAAUAUAGAUGGUCCAUUCCGACAAACAGCAUCGGUGAUGUUUGCUGACAAGUACCGAACUACUUUCUUUAGACCAAAAACAAAAACAAUCAAACUGCCUUGUUUUCUACAGAAAUUGAUUAUCAAAGGUGCAAGGGUAAAAUAUAAAGUUGUUCUUUAUCAAAUUAAAAUUAAAUAAAAUAUAAAGUUGUUUUCCUUUAUGCAUAAAAUAGUCAUAAAAUAGUAUUUUCUCUAAUUUCUUCCGAAUUUAAUCACGAAGUUUGGAAUCACAUCACGUAUAGAGUUUCGUGGAGUUUGGACUAACCAUCUAACCCUUAAAUACCACAUAUCUAGUCUUGUUGCCGAUUUAUCGAUAAAUUUUAAAAUGACCAAAAUCAUAUACGAUCGCUAAGAUCUGUUAAUCAAAACCUAGAGAUAUGGUCGUAUGCCUAUUAAAGGUAGCUUCGUUUAACCGGAGCUUGUGACCCAGUGGUGAUCAACUUGAGGACGAAGCCUAAUAUGGUGAACUCACCUGGAUUCGAGUCUCAACCAUUAGGAAUUACAAUUUCGGCAUCGCCAAGAACAGGAAACCGAGACGUGGACCAAUAACGUACUCUGCUAACACAUGGCUAGUCUGGACUCACUUCAGUGGGAGCUAAGAUACCCUUGUAUAAUUCCAAAAAAAGUAGCUUCGUUUGAGAGAUUGUUGUGGGCUUGCUCAAAGAAUAAAAUACAGUUACAAUGCAGUAUACGUCAACAUACAACAGUAAUAAUUUUUCUGCAAUACCCAUUUGUAUUUUUUUUAAAUAAACCCAAUCUUUGAAAUCUCUACUUUAUUAAUACUAAAAAACCAUCUCCAACACCAAAAAUCCAAUAUGUAAAAUAAAAUACAAAUUGCCGACAAAAAUAUCAAAUAAAUAUCAAUAAAAUCAUAAAAGCGAUUCUGGAAAAAGAGAAAAGAUGCUUAAGAACACACAUAUGUUCGAUCGGUCACCUACUCGUGAGUUUCACCUGAAGGAGAAAGAAUAUUGUUUAUUUGUUAUGAAAAUUGCAAAGAAAAAUCAUGCUCGCAAAAUUGUGAAAGAUCUGUAAUAGAAUUGCGAGGAAAAGUAUUUUCCUCGCAAAACCCACAAAAAUUUGAGAGAGAAAUAUUCUCUUACAAAUUUGUGUGGGAUUUGUGAAAAUAGCGUAUUAAUCAUGGUGCUUUGUAAUUUUCUCGCAAAUUUGUAAUGGAUUUUGCGACUCAUGCCUAGUCCCUUGUAAUUUCCUUGCAAAUCCAUAUUUCCGGGACUUGAAUGGUUUGGGGUAUCGUUAAGAAUUUUGGUCAGAUAACAAAUCUAGUAGAAACAUAUAGUGUUUAAUAUGUACGUCAAUAACUAUUUACGAAGUUAAUCAACUACGGUUGGGAACGCAAUUCCUGACACUUGAACUAAUAUUGGAAGUACUUAGCAUCAAAACCGGUCGAUCUAUACAAUCAAUAUACAUCAACUAAAUUGCUGAAAAGUUUUAAAGUAUUUUGGUAUUGAUAACAAAUUGAAUAUGAUAAUUUAGUGUUUAACAUGUACGUCGAUAACUAUUUUUCAACGCAUACCGAAAGAUUUUUUGAAAUCUCCAUCCCAAUUGAAUCAACAGAGAAUAUCAUACAUUUUGAUGCAAAUAACAGAGACACAGAGGACAUUGUUGAUGAUUCAACUGAACGCUCUAUUUCAGAAAAUGCCGAAAUUGAUGUUGAAACCGACAAAGAGGACACACAUGAUGAACACCAAUAUGAUAACCACACAAUAUUUAAGAAAAACAAGUAAAAAAAAAUCUAACCAAAUUUUAUGGAUUACCGUGCAAAAAUGCAUUACUAGUUACAUUAUUCUAUCUAUAUAUUAAACUCCAUCUUAAAUAGAAAUUUCAACUAUCAAACAAGUAAAUCUAAAAGUAAAAACUCUGAUAAACGUGUCUUUAUCGUAAGAAUAUCACGAAGAAUGAUUCGCUAUCUUUUGCAUAAUCCUGAUUGCUUUAUUUCCUCUUCAGGAUUGUAUGUGUUUAUACAAGUUUCCCUUUGUUCAUGAUUAGCAUUACAAUCACAUCAUGAUAUCCAAGUGAUAUUGUUGUUACAUUUUUUUGUUUAUAUAGUUGUCGAUGGCCAAGAUCUUAAAGCCGGUAACCAUCCUAGGCCAUUUUGCUCACCAAUCUCUUGCGACGCUAAAGACAAAAAUCACAGUUGUGCAAUCUGUCACCGUGGAAAAAUGAAAUUUUUUUUCAAGAGCAGAGAAGAAUGUGCUUCUGCGUGCAAAUAAUAAGUUAUCUCGAAACGUGCAAAUAGCACUAAAUAAUUUUUUUAUCGAAUAUCUAAUUAUCUGCUUCCGAUUUUUUUACUAUAAUAACAUAAGCUUAUUUUGAGUGCAACCAAUAAAAUUUAUGCUUUUUGUAUCUGUGUUUAGAGACUUCCCUAGUCUACGUAACCGUGGAAGCUUCUUUGGUCCAGUGGUUUAACUAAGGGUUCAUUAAUGCUUCUACACCAGGAGGUCUGGGUUUCGAUUCCCGGAGAAGACGGAAUUAUACAAAUUAAUGGAGAAAAGACUUACAAGAGAUCUGCAGCAUGACGUAAGGAGUACCUUCAAGCGUGGAUCCGAUAGGACGGCUCAGGUGAUGCAGUUAUACGUGAAUCCUAAUAAGGCAUGUAGAAUUGUCGGCUGUAGAAUCGUGUGUAAUAUUUCUCAUAGUUUAUAAUAACAUAAUUAUCCAGCGUUAAAAAAAAAGUCUAUGUAACCUAUUUUCUCUCUUUUAGUUUUGUUUUGCUAUUAAUGUUUUUAUUCUUAAUAGUUUGUUAUGGUAAAUCGUAAGUUUUUCUAUUUUCUUCUCACCAUAUGACUAGCCCUUGUGAGUAAGGAAAAAAAACAUAAAUCAAAGAGGAAACAUAGAGAUUUUCUUAUCAGUCUACCCAAUCACUAAAAAAAAACUUAUAUUAGUUUCAUUUAUGUACUUUUAUUUCUACACAAUCACGUUGAAAAUCGUAGUCAAAUCGGAAUGUAGAAUUUUUUAAAAGUACAAAUAUAGAUAAAAAUGGUAAAUCUUAUACUCACCUUUUUGUGCUUAAUCCUUUUGAUAUGUUAUCUAACUUUUAUGACAUUAUUUUCUGCAAUGAACUAUUUUCUAUAAUUCUAAAGUAAUAGUAUUUGAAUAAUUGCAACUAGUUAUUGUUUUCCAACAGAAAGAACUUUAUUAUUUUGAACUAGUAGUUGGUCAAGAGAAUCAAAUCGAUGGUGUUGAAUCAAUGUAAGCAAUAGCAGCAAGAAAAUUUCAAGAAUCUGUUGAAAUCUUAUCCGCUAUUGUCUUUUUGUUAUUAGGAUCUGUCAAAUUACAAAAUUGGGGAAUAAAUUCUUUCAUUGUUGCAAUUCGUCUAAGAUGGUUUUUCAUCAAUAUAGACACCAUCUUCACCAAUUAAUAAUAUAUUGUGGACCGACCUUUAAAAUAUGUAGAAUCUUCAUUCAUUCCAUUGCCAAAAUAAAUGCUUCACAUUUGGCUUGCAAAGGUGAUAGGUUUCGUCGCAUAUUCAUAGCCUAGUAACUUAUUCAUUUGAGCCUCCCAAAAUGUAAACAUAUAUCUUUUUGAAAUAAAAUUUUAUUACAAAUAAUGAUCUUUUAGAAGCAGAAGAAAUAAUCUUUUUGUUUUCAUAAUGUUUACAUGUUUUAGGAUACAAUUCUAUUAUUAUUUUUCUAGUCGCAGCAUUGUUGAUUUUUUUUUAUGUUCUUACGUUAGCUAAUAGUUUACGAGCCAUCGGGGCCUGUGAUCCCACUCAAAUGGAAAACUCCACCUUGGAACAUGUUAAAAUGCAACAUUGGUGCCUCAUGGAGGAAUGAUUCGAGGACGGGAGGUGCGUCUUGGAUUAUUCUCGACUCUCUGGCGCCUAAAGCCUUGCGUUGUAUUCCUUCCGUUCAUAAGAAAUGUGAUUUUGACAUUUUUCACACAAAUUAAAAAAAUGAUUAAAAUACAUUUAAGUUAUUAUUUAUUAUAUAUAUUCAACAAAUAGUAUUUGAGACAAAUGAAAUUAUUUAUAAAUCAAUGUAUUUACAAUUAAUAUUGAAUUGAAAGUUGCAUUGAAAUUCUAAAAUGACACUCUUUUGUAAUUAAAAAAAAUGUUAAAAAUGCUAUUUAAUAUAAAACAGAGAGAAUAUAUUUUAGCAUAUGAACUAUGCUAUAAGGGGUUAGAUAUGCGUCUGUGUGUUUAGCUUUAGAUUUAUGUUAGGUAGUAUACUAGAAUGGGGUUUUACUGAGGGGAAGAUUAUGUAUAUGGCGCAAAUUCAUUGUUUCAUUAGUAGAUUAGCUAUUUUAUUUUUAAUUAUUGACUAAAUUUUGAUAUCUAUUCUCUCAUCUUUUUUAUUGAAAACUUUGUUUACAUAUAGACCAUUACUAAAAUUUCAAACUCAUCAAAAAAUUAAAUUUCGAUCUUGUUAUAAAAUAGAUUUAAUUUAUAUCACUUGAAAGAACAUAACUUUUUCUUUGACAUAUUUAUUUCUGCCUAUGUAUCCAGAAUUUUUUUUUCUGAAAUUUUUUAAAAUAAAUUUAAUAUCUAUAACAAGAAACAACAUAUUUUUUCUUUGAUACUUGGAAGAGAAACAAUCUUUCUUUGACAAAUGAAGAAGACUGUUGCUCUUUCACUCUUUGUGCGUGUCUAAUUCUCUUUUCCAUUAAAACAUCAAAUUUUGGAAUGACAAUCGCGAAGGAGAGAAAAGAGCUAAAACCACUGACGUUCUGUUCACACUUAGUUGACCAAAUUCUUUUGUAGCUCAAAUGGUUUGAAACUACUAAAUUUCCUGUUUUAAUGUUUUUUAAGAGAUUCGUUAGUGAGAUCACAAAUAUCUAUAAAGAAAUAGUUUAUUUAGUUAUUUGUUAUUCAUUUAAUAUAAACUUAUAUAAUUAAUAUGAUUACUACGCAAUAGUUUCAAUUUCUAUAAACAACAUAAUAAGAAAAGAAAAAGUUGAACACCAAUAUGAUAACCACACAAUAUUUAGGAAAAAACAAGUCAAACAUAUCUAACCAAUUUUAUAGGAUUACCGUGAAAAAAUGCAUUACUAGUUACAUUAUUCUAUCUAUAUAUUAAUUUCCAUCUUAAAUAAAAAUUUCAAUCAUCAAACUAAUAAAUUUAAAAGUAAAAACUCUAAUAAAUGUGUUUUCAUCGUAAAAAUAUCACGAAAAACGAUAUGUCUUUAUUACAGUACGCUAUUUUUUGCAUAAUCUUGAUUGCUUUAUUUCCUCUUCAUGAUUUUGUUGGUGGCCAAGGUCUUAAAGCGGGCAACCAACCUAACUCAUUUUGCUCACCAAUCCCUUGCGACACUAAAGACAAAACUCGCAGUUG
Brassica rapa (field mustard) is the source of this 14817-nucleotide long non-coding RNA. RefSeq lists it as uncharacterized. The record is from RefSeq and is a predicted model, not a curated record. NCBI's taxonomy places the organism in Eukaryota, Viridiplantae, Streptophyta, Magnoliopsida, Brassicales, Brassicaceae.